ACCUACUCUCAGUGAUUAAAAUUUUAACGAAAUCCAAUUCUAAAUGUAUAGGAGGUAGCAGUAAAACUGGCGCAUCGCCUCCAGCUGCGAGGUGAAUUCAAGUUUUAAAAGAAAAAAUAAAAAUUAACGUAUAUUUGAAUGGUAACCAAAAUAUCCGUUUUGUCUAGGUUUUAUGAACUAGACAACGCAACUUUUUGUGAACUAUCACAUAUUUGUGCAAAGACUUAUGAUGCAGACGAACUGAAGGUCAGCGAAUAUGAACAAGUGCACUGAAUAACAACGCUCUGGCGCGGCACUGAACUCAACCCGACCUGCCAGUUUUUACAAUUAGCCGAGCCAGUUCAAGUGCCUAAGAAGAGCAAGGUUCAGCAAGGAGGGACCUCUUCCUUACUGAGAGAAUCAUCAUGGCAGUAGAUGUCCCUGGACUCGUCUCUGUGAUCGUUUUUUAUGUUUGCAUCCUGGCAAUUGGAGUGUGGGGGUCUCGAAAAUCCAAGAAAGUGGAGAAGAAAUGCUCCGGCUCAAAGAGUGAAAUUGCCAUCAUUGGUGGCCGCAACAUCAACAUCCUGGUUGGAAUUUUUACCAUGACAGCAACAUGGGUCGGUGGUGGUUACAUUAUGGGAACURCCGAGUCUGUUUAUUCUCCUACUCAAGGCCUUGUCUGGGCUCUGGGGCCCCCUGCAUAUGUCUUGUGUUUUU
This is a non-coding RNA of Poecilia reticulata (guppy), 696 nucleotides long. NCBI's taxonomy places the organism in Eukaryota, Metazoa, Chordata, Actinopteri, Cyprinodontiformes, Poeciliidae. The record is from RefSeq and is a predicted model, not a curated record.